AUACGUAGGGUGCGAGCGUUGUCCGGAAUGAUUGGGCGUAAAGGGCGCGUAGGCGGCGCGGUAAGUCUGGAGUGAAAGUCCUGCUUUCAAGGUGGGAAUUGCUUUGGAUACUGCCGCGCUUGAGUGCAGGAGAGGUUAUCGGAAUUCCCGGUGUAGCGGUGAAAUGCGUAGAGAUCGGGAGGAACACCAGUGGCGAAGGCGGGUAACUGGACUGCAACUGACGCUGAGGCGCGAAAGUGUGGGGAGCAAACAGGAUGAGAUACCCCGGUAGUCCUGGCCGUAAACGAUGAAUGCUAGGUGUGGGUGUCGAGAGGCAUCCGUGCCGGAGUUAACGCGAUAAGCAUUCCGCCUGGGGAGUACGGUCGCAAGAUUGAAACUCAAAUGAAUUGACGGGG
RNAcentral lists this ribosomal RNA (395 nucleotides) under uncultured bacterium. Its description in RNAcentral is "partial 16S ribosomal RNA". It matches the Rfam family "Bacterial small subunit ribosomal RNA", at positions 523 to 918 of the family's 1533-position model. The record is from RNAcentral.